GUCGAGAAUCUUCCGCAGUGCGCGAAAGCGUGACGGAGCGACACCGCGUGAUGGAUGAAGUCCUUCGGGGCGUAAACAUCUUUUAUAAAGGAGGAAAUUUUUGACGUUACUUUAUGAAUAAGGGGCUCCCAAUCUCGUGCCAGCAGGAGCGGUAAUACGAGAGCCUCAAGCGUUAUCCGGAAUCAUUGGGCGUAAAGGGUGCGUAGGUGGUUUGAUUAGUCUCCCGUUAAAACUUCGAGCUUAACUCGAAAAGAGCGGGGGAAACGGUCAAACUAGAGUAUGUGAGAGGUGUGUGGAACUCAUGGUGUAGGGGUGAAAUCCGUUGAUAUCAUGGGGAACACCAAAAGCGAAGGCAGCACACUGGCACAUCACUGACACUGAGGCACGAAACCUAAGGUAGCGAAUGGGAUUAGAUACCCCGGUAGUCC
This 428-nucleotide ribosomal RNA is filed under the name uncultured bacterium. RNAcentral describes it as "partial 16S ribosomal RNA". It matches the Rfam family "Bacterial small subunit ribosomal RNA", at positions 354 to 796 of the family's 1533-position model. The record is from RNAcentral.